RNAcentral lists this transfer RNA (65 nucleotides) under Anindobothrium lisae. Its description in RNAcentral is "tRNA-Met". The record is from RNAcentral. Lineage: Eukaryota; Metazoa; Platyhelminthes; Cestoda; Phyllobothriidea; Phyllobothriidae.
AGGUUAGUAAGUUAAGUUAAACUACAGGGUUCAUGUCCCUAUAAUAUGGGUUUCCUUCUAACCCA